Molecule: ribosomal RNA, 500 nt
Filed under: uncultured bacterium
Lineage: Bacteria
Description: partial 16S ribosomal RNA
Rfam family: Bacterial small subunit ribosomal RNA
Source: RNAcentral
AUUGAACGCUGGCGGCAUGCCUUACACAUGCAAGUCGAACGGCAGCACGGGAGCAAUCCUGGUGGCGAGUGGCGAACGGGUGAGUAAUACAUCGGAACGUGCCCAGUAGUGGGGGAUAGCCCGGCGAAAGCCGGAUUAAUACCGCAUGAGACCUGAGGGUGAAAGCGGGGGAUCGCAAGACCUCGCGCUAUUGGAGCGACGGAUGUCAGAUUAGCUAGUUGGUAGAGUAAAGGCCUACCAAGGCAACGAUCUGUAGUUGGUCGGAGAGGACGACCAGCCACACUGGGACUGAGACACGGCCCAGACUCCUACGGGAGGCAGCAGUGGGGAAUUUUGGACAAUGGGCGCAAGCCUGAUCCAGCAAUGCCGCGUGCAGGAAGAAGGCCUUCGGGUUGUAAACUGCUUUUGUCAGGGAAGAAAUCUUCUGGGCUAAUACCCUGGGAGGAUGACGGUACCUGAAGAAUAAGCACCGGCUAACUACGUGCCAGCCGCCGCAGUAA